Molecule: long non-coding RNA, 792 nt
Organism: Triticum aestivum (bread wheat)
Lineage: Eukaryota; Viridiplantae; Streptophyta; Magnoliopsida; Poales; Poaceae
Exons: 2
Source: RefSeq, a predicted model, not a curated record
CCAGUCCCCCCGCAUCCACUCGCCUAAUCCCGAUCGGAGCGGAGGGGAACGAGACUUCCGGUCGAUCCAUCUGCCCGCCCAGUCCCGAUCGAGGCUUAGGGAAACGAGAUUGCCGGUCGAUCCCAGCGACCGGAGGAGAGGAGCAGCCGGUGCGGCUGGUUCCAUCAACUGAAGACGGGUUGAGGGAUGGGAUCGAAUUCCAUUCGGUCGAUUCCUGUGACCGGAGGAGCAGGAUCCGGGUCGAGGCAAUCCAACCCAGCGCGUGAAAAAAGGUGGGGGCGAGGGAGAUAAUGGCAGACUCCUCGCCUGCUUGACACUGCUCCGCCCUCCUUCAAGCUUGCAAUCAUGGCCCUCCUGAGGAGAAAGGUUGAGAGCUUUAAUGGCAGUUGAUGUGCACCACUCGCCCGGGGCUGAUUAUUGCAAGCUGCCCUCAACCGUAGGAUUUGAGAUUGGUUGUCAAUUUCUCAUGGGUUGAUUUCAUCUAAGUUGCCGCUUUUCCUUACUACAGAUUAUUUGCUGCCUUCUACAUCCGCUCUCCCACCGAAUUACUAAUGGUGUUAGACAUUUUUCUUACUGCUAUUUUUUUGUGCUACCAAAUUGAUGCAGGUGCCAUGAAAAAGGAUUGUCGCUGAUGUUAGUGGUAGGUUGUGUUGGGGAAUUCCUAAUUCCUAGCUUAUCAUUUGCAAUGGCUAUCAGCCAUAUUGUACGUGAAUUCUCGUAUGUCAUCUUAUUAUCUUAAUAUCCAUGUAUAUGUGCCUAUGUUGUAAAUUUCAUGUCCAUCCAUUUUAGCGA